AAGAGGCUGCUGAAGAAGAACAAUGGAAGCAUUAAAGGCGUGGUGAUGGAUCUUCUCACUGGGGAGAAGGAGAAGGAGGCUUAGUGUGGCGUUCGAUUCUGGGAGAACUUUUAUCUAUAUCAGGACAAAGGUUAUGUUUUAUAAAUAAUAAAAACCUGAUGAUGAUGUAGUGUGGUUUCGAACUUUGGUGUGUUCCUUUGCUUCUUUCUUUCGUGUUGGAUGUGGAUGAUAUGAUGUUACUACUAAUCUUAAAUAAGUAUAAGACUUUAUUUAUGCUAUCAUCAAUCUUCUUAUUUUGAAUGCAACCGUGUCUUUGUUAUCGAUUUCAUUCACUUGACCGCCCUCUCCUCCAUGUCCAGUUGAUUACAUUUUUGCUUUUGAUUCUUACAUGCAAUUUAUAUUAUUCCUGAACGUAGUGAUUCAUUCACCUGCACGACUUUAUCUUUAUGAAAAAACUGCUGGCAACCAAAUGAGUAAAUUGAAGAUAAUCAAUAUGGAAUUCACUUUCUUUUCUACGUUUACAAGUUUGAAGGAGUAAGUAAUUGCAUCUUGACUUUGUUUAAAAUCUCCUGGACGAACGAUUAAACAAACUCCUAAGGCUAUUUCUGCUGUCCCUAUUUUUCUUCUUGAUGGCCUUAUCCGCAGAGAAAGUAUGCUCUUCCAAAGUGAGUGCCCGUUCCAGUUUCUUAGAUACAGAAAGAAUCUCGUACGGAUCCCACAAGGACUGUCCAUACUCCCAAUCCAAGAACGAAGGAUGAUGAUGGUGAUGCUUCUUUGUACUGGACAAGGCCUCCAUUUUGAAACGUGAAGGUUUACCUUUGACAAAAGCAUGCUUUCUCCGCGCUUCGAACUCCAAAACUGUGCUUUUAGAGGUUUGGGAGUGGCUGAGCCAAGCCUGUGCUGCUGCUUUCAUCAGCUCCACUCUCUUCUUCUCUUCUUCGUUUUCAUCUUUAGCCUCUCGUUUCUUCCUCAUCUGUUUCCUUCUCCAUUUGGGAGGGGACUUUUGGGGCUCUAAGCUAUUAUUAUGGACCCAAUUUUAUGUCAGCUUUAAAUGGCAGCCUUAUGUUUCUUGUCCGAAUCUGCUAACUUCUGUCCGUCUCAUCCUUUUCCAUUUAUUUCUUUUUAAUUUUUUCAAUACAUUUGUUGUAUAAUAAAAGGUGGGAGAUGACUUAGAAUGUAAUAAAAAGAUGAAAAGUAUUUUAGAGUGAAAAUAACUCAGGGAAAAAUGCCAAUUUCGAUCCCAACUAUUUCAGUCGUGCCAAAUACGACCCGAACAAUUGAUCAGUGCCAAAUACGACAUCAACUCAAUUAUAAUUCAAAAAAACUACCAGAACUUCUUAAAACGUGCCUAAAUCUACAUUGACUCUAACAGAAGUUAGUCAACCGUUAAAAAAUAAAACGAUGUCGUUUUGAUAUACGAGGAAAAGUGUCAAUUUCGACCCAAACACUCUCAGUCGUGCCAAAUAAGACCCGAACAAAUGGUCAGUGCCAAAAACGACCUCAACUCAAUUAUAUUUUAAGAAAAAUUACCCAAUUUUUUUAAAACGUGUUUAAAUCUACAUUAACUCUAACAGAAGUUAAUCAACCUUUAACAAAGAUAAGACGACGUUGUUUUGAUAUAUGUAUUUUCUUAAAAAAAUAUGUUCAUUUUGGGAUUCAAAUCCGUGCUGGGAUAUCCUUUUAAAGGGGCACACUAACAACUAGACUAAAAUAAUUUUUUGAAAUAUUAUUACAAAUUGAAAUUCUCCAUUAUAUAAACUACUAUUCUUCUUCAUCUUAUCCAAUUUAAAACUUUGGUGAUUGCUUUAUACAUUUUAGUUAUUGUUUAAUUUGUCUAAUAUUUUGUACAACAUAUCUUAGUGAAAGAAAGGUAAAAGGCCUCUUAACAUUUUUGAACAAAAUAUCAAAAUAUAUAAUAUCAACUUUGAAAACUAAAAAAAUUCCCACUUAAUUUUAAAAAUUAAAAAUAAUUUAUAUAAGAAAAUUGUAUAAAUAAAUUCAAAGUUGUAAGCAUAUUUAAGAUCGUAUAAUAAUAAAUAUUUUAUUAUUUAUAUUUUAGUAAGAUAUAAUUUUAUUAAAGAUAUGAUAAAUAAGAAAAACACGUUAAUGUAUUUAUAUAAAUCAGAAAAAAUUGUCACCAAAAUUUUAAAUUGGAUAAGAUGAAGAAUAAUAAUAGUUUAUAUAAUUUCAAAUUUGUAAUAGUAUUUUAUCUAUUAUCUUCUAGAAGCACAAACCCUAAGAAAUAUUUAAAAAAUGUAUUUAUUUUACCCAAAUUCAUAUUUUUUCUCCCAUAUGGUGCUUAAUCGUGAUCCCUAAUCUUGUUUUGUUCUUUUAAUUUGUUUAUUUGCAUGUUGUUUGAUUCAUUUUAAGUGAGCUUUGUGUUCAUUGCAGGUGAGUUAUGGAGGUGUGCUUAGGCGCUUCAGGGUGCCUUUCAAAGCUAAUGGACAGCUUGAUCUUGACAUGGCUUCUCUUAGGGGAAAGAUUGCUGCUUUGUUUAACCUCCCUCUGGAUGCUGAGUUCUCUCUCACUUACUCUGAUGAAGAUGGGGAUGUGGUGGCCCUUGUUGAUGACAACGACCUCUUCGAUGUCACGAAUCAGCGUCUUAAGUUCUUGAAGAUUACUGUGCAGUCGAACGCUGGUGUGCCGACCAACUCUGUUGCUCCAGAGAGCAGUGGGAGUUCGUCAGCCUCGGUUAUGCCUGAUAGCCAGGACCCGGUUUCUAAGAUCCAGAAGGGUUUCAAUGAUGUUAUGAUGGCUGUGCCGAACCACAUGCGUGAUACCAUUUCCAAGGUGUAUAUUGACCUUACAUCUAAGGCGGCGUCUUCGAGCCCUGUGGUUGGUGAGCUGUUUGAUUGCAUCAACAAGCUAGGGAAGCUCUCAAGCCCUCAGGAAAGUAGUCCUUGCUCUCCUGUUACUAAGCCUGGCUCGUCAGGGCCUUCUUUGAGCAGGGAGGUUCCUUCCGCUGGUGAAAAGAAGGAUGUAUCUAAGAAGACCCAAGCUGGAAAAAAACCUGUUGCUGAUUCAACCUCCUCUGGACUUGGUGCUAGUUUCAACGAGUGUCCCUUCAGUGGCAGUACCGUGAUUGAUUCCACUCCAAAUCCAAAUCCAACGAAUCUCAACAGGCAUGCCCGUCGUGUAUGUCACUCCAAAAAGACCAACAAUGGUGAUUACUGGAACUCACUGGGUGUCUUCCAUAAGGGUAUCCGUUGUGAUGGAUGUGGAGUUCUUCCAAUAACUGGGCCUAGAUUCAAGUCUAAAGUGUAAGGAGAUCUCUUACUUGCAAAUGUAGAAACUGCAGAUACAUCUUUCGAGUUUAUUAUGCUUACUUGUUUCUCUGGUGAAUAUUUUGCAGCAAAGAAGACUAUGAUCUUUGCACCAUCUGUUUUUCCGUGAUGGGCAAUGAAGGGGAUUAUACAAGAAUGGAUAAGCCCGUCUCAGCUCAACAGCUACAUCCCUUCAGAGGACUUCCUACCCCAGUAUUACUCUUUUUCUGUGUUUAAGUUUCCUUUUCUUCUAUACCUUUUCUUUCUGUAUUUACAGCUAUAUGGAGAUCUUACGUUUCUUCCUUUCUUUCAUAUAGUUUUCAAAUCCUUGGUUGGGACAUGUGCCGCGACCACACCACGGAGGUUUACAUUUCAGGUGUACUCGGCCUAAGCUAGACAGUCGCUUUGUCCUUGAUGUCAAUGUACUUGAUGGAACCGUUGUUGCUCCAUCUGCCCCAUUCACCAAGAUCUGGAAAAUGAGGAACAAUGGUUCGCUGGUGUGGCCACAUGGCACGCAGAUCGUUUGGAUCGGUGGGGACAGAUUCAGCAGCUCUUUGUCAGUUGAUUUACAGGUUAGAAACUAUAUCCUUAGUUUUGCCAUUUAUUUUGCUUGAUACCUACCCUGAAGUUCCACUUACAGAUCAAUCAUGAUGUUUGAAGUUGCUCUUAGUGGCUUGAGUUAGCUUCUUCUCUACAGAAAGUGGCAAUAGUUUCUUUAUAUAUAUAUACAACACUAAUUUUUUAUUGGUGUCAGCAGAUUCCAGUGGAGGGUGUGCCUAUCAACAGUGAGCUUGACGUGAAAGUUGAAUUUGUUGCACCAGAGUCACCUGGCCGAUACAUAUCUUAUUGGAGGAUGGCUUCCUCUAAUGGUGCCAAGUUUGGGCAACGUGUUUGGGUGUUGAUACAUGUACUGGCUAGAUCUCUGCUGCCAUUUUCCUGGAAUUUUGUUUUUCUCAAUCAUCUGAUUUUUUUUUUUUUGCUGGUUGCGUGGUCAGGUUGAUGCAUCCUUGAAGGGCUCUGUUGUGAACGAGUUUCAUGGACUGAACUUGAAUGCCUCUCCUGAAGAAAAUUUCGCAAGAGAAUUUUCAGGGAUCAAUGUGAAUCAUGUUCCAGCUCAGCCUGGUAGCCCCAGUGUUAACCCUGGGAUAGUGAAAGGUGCUGAUGUUGAACCAGAAGCUUCUUCGGGAUCAAACAUUCCGAUGAAAGAUGACCUGGUGGUUGGUGAAGUUGAGCCUGUUGUUCCUAACACUGUUGUGCCUAACACUCUUACUCCAUCUUCAUCUUCGUCAUCAUUCAACAUAAUCGAGUUCCCAAAUAUGCCUACUACUGUUGAGGCCUUGGGUGGCGGUUCCUCAUCUGCAAAGAACAUCCCCGUUCCUCUACAAGAGGAUAUUGAGAAGAAUGACGUCGAGAUAACCAUGCUCAAGGAGCUGGAGGAGAUGGGUUUCAAAGAGAUUGAUCUGAACAAGGAAAUCCUGAGGGACAACGAGUACAACUUGGAGCAGUCUGUUGACGCUCUCUGUGGAGUUAAAGAGUGGGAUCCUAUCCUAGAGGAGCUUCAGGAAAUGGUAAGUGUGAAUUGAAGAUUGGAAAACCAGAUUGAGAGGGAUGUUUGACAAUGUGAUAAUUUCUGCAGGGGUUCUGUGAUGAUCUGACGAACAAGAGGCUGCUGAAGAAGAACAAUGGAAGCAUUAAAGGCGUGGUGAUGGAUCUUCUCACUGGGGAGAAGGAGAAGGAGGCUUAGUGUGGCGUUCGAUUCUGGGAGAACUUUUAUCUAUAUCAGGACAAAGGUUAUGUUUUAUAAAUAAUAAAAACCUGAUGAUGAUGUAGUGUGGUUUCGAACUUUGGUGUGUUCCUUUGCUUCUUUCUUUCGUGUUGGAUGUGGAUGAUAUGAUGUUACUACUAAUCUUAAAUAAGUAUAAGACUUUAUUUAUGCUAUC
Molecule: long non-coding RNA, 5203 nt
Filed under: Brassica napus (rape)
Lineage: Eukaryota; Viridiplantae; Streptophyta; Magnoliopsida; Brassicales; Brassicaceae
Description: long non-coding RNA (BNAP_LNC000228)
Source: RNAcentral